AGAGUUUGAUCAUGGCUCAGGAUGAACGCUGGCGGCGUGCUUAACACAUGCAAGUCGAACGAAGCACUUACAAUUGAUUCUUCGGAUGAAAGAGUUUGUGACUGAGUGGCGGACGGGUGAGUAACGCGUGGGUAACCUGCCUCAUACAGGGGGAUAACAGUUAGAAAUGACUGCUAAUACCGCAUAAGCGCACAGUAUCGCAUGAUACCGUGUGAAAAACUCCGGUGGUAUGAGAUGGACCCGCGUCUGAUUAGCUAGUUGGUGGGGUAACGGCCUACCAAGGCAACGAUCAGUAGCCGGCCUGAGAGGGUGAACGGCCACAUUGGGACUGAGACACGGCCCAAACUCCUACGGGAGGCAGCAGUGAGGAAUAUUGGUCAAUGGGCGGAAGCCUGAACCAGCCAAGUCGCGUGAGGGAAGACGGCCCUACGGGUUGUAAACCUCUUUUGUCGGGGAGCAAUGCCGCCUUUGCGAAGGCGGAGGGAGAGUACCCGAAGAAAAAGCAUCGGCUAACUCCGUGCCAGCAGCCGCGGUAAUACGGAGGAUGCGAGCGUUAUCCGGAUUUAUUGGGUUUAAAGGGUGCGUAGGCGGAAUAUUAAGCCUGAGGUAAAAAUUCGGGGCCCAACCCCGUCCCGCCUUGGGAACUGGUAUUCUAGAGUGGUUGAGAAGUAUGCGGAAUGCGUGGUGUAGCGGUGAAAUGCAUAGAUAUCACGCAGAACGCCGAUUGCGAAGGCAGCAUACCGGCAGCCCACUGACGCUGAGGCACGAAAGCGUGGGGAUCAAACAGGAUUAGAUACCCUGGUAGUCCACGCAGUAAACGAUGGAUGUUAGCUGUUCGGAGCGAAUGAGUUCUGAGUGGCACAGCGAAAGCGUUAAACAUCCCACCUGGGGAGUACGCCGGCAACGGUGAAACUCAAAGGAAUUGACGGGGGCCCGCACAAGCGGAGGAACAUGUGGUUUAAUUCGAUGAUACGCGAGGAACCUUACCCGGGCUUGAACUGUAGGCGAACGAUCCAGAGAUGGUGAGGCCCUUCGGGGCGCCUAUGGAGGUGCUGCAUGGUUGUCGUCAGCUCGUGCCGUGAGGUGUCGGCUUAAGUGCCAUAACGAGCGCAACCCCUCUCUUCAGUUGCCAUCAGAUUAUGCUGGGCACUCUGGAGACACUGCCACCGUAAGGUGUGAGGAAGGUGGGGAUGACGUCAAAUCAGCACGGCCCUUACGUCCGGGGCUACACACGUGUUACAAUGGGUGGUACAGAGAGUUGGGUGUACGCAAGUGCAUUCUAAUCAAGAAAGCCAUCCUCAGUUCGGACUGGGGUCUGCAACCCGACCCCACGAAGCUGGAUUCGCUAGUAAUCGCGCAUCAGCCAUGGCGCGGUGAAUACGUUCCCGGGCCUUGCACUCACCGCCCGU
Molecule: ribosomal RNA, 1409 nt
Filed under: uncultured bacterium
Lineage: Bacteria
Description: bacterial SSU rRNA
Rfam family: Bacterial small subunit ribosomal RNA
Source: RNAcentral